UAACCUAUCUCUUAUUGUGCC
This 21-nucleotide non-coding RNA is filed under the name Arabidopsis thaliana (thale cress). The record is from RNAcentral. Lineage: Eukaryota; Viridiplantae; Streptophyta; Magnoliopsida; Brassicales; Brassicaceae.